UGGAUGUUAAACCAAGCUUCUUGUAUGUAG
RNAcentral lists this non-coding RNA (30 nucleotides) under Mus musculus (house mouse). Lineage: Eukaryota; Metazoa; Chordata; Mammalia; Rodentia; Muridae. The record is from RNAcentral.